AAAUGAAUUGACGGGGGCCCGCACAAGCGGAGGAACAUGUGGUUUAAUUCGAUGAUACGCGAGGAACCUUACCUGGGCUUAAAUGUAGAGUGCAUGCGGUGGAAACACCCUUCCCUUCGGGGCUCUCUGCAAGGUGCUGCAUGGUUGUCGUCAGCUCGUGCCGUGAGGUGUCGGGUUAAGUCCCAUAACGAGCGCAACCCUUACCGUUAGUUGCCAUCAGGUCAAGCUGGGGACUCUAGCGGGACUGCCACCGUAAGGUGUGAGGAAGGUGGGGAUGACGUCAAAUCAGCACGGCCCUUAUGUCCAGGGCUACACACGUGUUACAAUGGCCGGUACAGAGGGCAGCUACUUCGCGAGAAGAUGCUAAUCUUUAAAGCCGGUCUCAGUUCGGAUUGGAGUCUGCAACCCGACUCCAUGAAGUUGGAUUCGCUAGUAAUCGCGCAUCAGCCAUGGCGCGGUGAAUACGUUCCCGGGCCUUGUACACACCGCCCGU
Molecule: ribosomal RNA, 493 nt
Filed under: uncultured bacterium
Lineage: Bacteria
Description: bacterial SSU rRNA
Rfam family: Bacterial small subunit ribosomal RNA
Source: RNAcentral